GAUGAACGCUGGCGGCGUGCCUAAUACAUGCAAGUCGAGCGAACAGACGAGGAGCUUGCUCCUCUGACGUUAGCGGCGGACGGGUGAGUAACACGUGGAUAACCUACCUAUAAGACUGGGAUAACUUCGGGAAACCGGAGCUAAUACCGGAUAACAUGUUGAACCGCAUGGUUCAACAGAGAAAGACGGUCUUGCUGUCACUUAUAGAUGGAUCCGCGCCGCAUUAGCUAGUUGGUAAGGUAACGGCUUACCAAGGCAACGAUGCGUAGCCGACCUGAGAGGGUGAUCGGCCACACUGGAACUGAGACACGGUCCAGACUCCUACGGGAGGCAGCAGUAGGGAAUCUUCCGCAAUGGGCGAAAGCCUGACGGAGCAACGCCGCGUGAGUGAAGAAGGUCUUCGGAUCGUAAAACUCUGUUAUUAGGGAAGAACAAAUGUGUAAGUAACUAUGCACGUCUUGACGGUACCUAAUCAGAAAGCCACGGCUAACUACGUG
RNAcentral lists this ribosomal RNA (497 nucleotides) under uncultured bacterium. Its description in RNAcentral is "partial 16S ribosomal RNA". It matches the Rfam family "Bacterial small subunit ribosomal RNA", at positions 28 to 507 of the family's 1533-position model. The record is from RNAcentral.